Molecule: non-coding RNA, 28 nt
Filed under: Gallus gallus (chicken)
Lineage: Eukaryota; Metazoa; Chordata; Aves; Galliformes; Phasianidae
Also listed under: 2 other names
Source: RNAcentral
UCUGAGGGUCCAGGGUUCAUGUCCCUGU